Molecule: ribosomal RNA, 465 nt
Filed under: uncultured bacterium
Lineage: Bacteria
Description: bacterial SSU rRNA
Rfam family: Bacterial small subunit ribosomal RNA
Source: RNAcentral
GACGAACGCUGGCGGCGCGCUUAACACAUGCAAGUCGUGCGGUACCGAUGGCAAGUCUUCUUGACGAGCCUUCGGUAUAGCGGCGGACGGGUGAGUAACACGUGAGUAGCUGUCCUAGGGAGGGGGAUAACGCCUGGAAACGGGUGCUAAAACCCCAUAAGCCUCGAAAGAGGUAAAAGUGCAUCACUGCAGUCCUAGGGUGUGCUCGCGGCCUAUCAGCUAGUUGGUGAGGUAAGGGCUCACCAAGGCCAAGACGGGUAGCCGGCCUGAGAGGGUGUACGGCCACACUGGAAUUGAGAUACGGUCCAGACUCCUACGGGAGGCAGCAGUGGGGAAUUUUGGGCAAUGGGCGAAAGCCUGACCCAGCGACGCCGCGUUGGGGAUGAAGUCCUCGGGCGUAACCCAUGUUGUAGGGGAAGAAGAAAGUGACGGUACCCUACGAGAAAGACCCGGCCAACUAACGUG